UUUUUUUUUUUUUUUUUUUUUUUUUCAUUUUCUUUUUCUUUUAGGGCCACACAUGCGGCAUAUGGAGGUUCCCAGGCUGGGGGUCUAAUCGGGGCUGUAGCCGCUGGCCUGCGCCACAGCCACAGCAACACGGGAUUCAAGCCACAUCUGGGACCUACGCCACAGAUCCAGCAUUGCCGUGAGCUGUGGUGUAGGUUGCGGAUGUGACUCGGAUCUGGCGUUGCUGUGGCUGUGGCGUAGGCUGGCAGCUGUAGCUCUGAUUCGAGUGGCCCUAAAAAGACAAGAAAAUAAAAAGAGUACAAGUCUGUUAGCUUUUUACUCUGACGAUGCACCAAAAAUUCUCAGAGAUGCUCAUGGCAGUUGUACUCUUCCCCCGGCCAGAGGGCUGUUCCCCUGCCUCCCUCCGUUGGGUGGAGGAAUGAGUCCAAGGACCCCCCAGGAAAUAAUAGCAAGAGCUCUUGUUGGCUGACCAGCUUGUGCUAGACACCUUGUCAGGUGCAGGAGGACUCUUCCAACACUGACUCUCCACGGCAGCUCUACAGGACAGACACGAUGGUACCCACUUGAACGGUGUGCACACCAAGGCCGAGGAGGCAAAGGUGGGCACAGGCCCAUCCUGAACAGCUGGGUGGGGAGGGGGAAAGGGGGGAGGGGAGGGCGGUUGGUCCUGAGCAGGUGGCGGCAUGUAGCCUGAGGCGAAGGAAGCUUUCCGAUCUCGUCCUGUUCUUUUUCCUCCUGGGCCUCGCAGGGCCUGUGCUUCCGAGGCACCUGCUGUAGGCAGGAGGGUAUAAUUCCCAGCGAACCCAGCAGCCCUCCCGACGGGUCCCGGCUGGCAGGGAUGCCCAGGUUCUCCUGACGGGGAGAGGAUCAUGCUCCAGCAGCUUUUUCCGGUGCAGGGACAGGCGCCUAGACGUGGAGAAACGCGGGCUGGAUUCGAAUCCUGGCCCUACGCUUGCGGGACCUGGGGAGGGCUGUUCUCGGCGCCCCAGUCUCCUCGUCUGUAAAGUGGGCACAUGCUGAUAGGUAGAACUCACUUCAUAGAGGAUUCGCCGCGGCAGAGCCUCGAUCCCUGUGCUCAUGCGGUAUUAAGACUGUCGGGCGUGUUAAGCUCAGGACAGAGUAUGUGAUGUGUAAGGGACACGGGACAAGCAUGGUUUCCUCCCACACGAGGGCCACCGGCAGGCGUGUCCGCGUUCAUGAAUGUUCCUAGGGAGACGCCCCACUCCUCGGUGGGGUCCUGAACCAGACAGGAGGGCACUGGCAGCAUCCGAAGGUGCACAAACCUCGUCAGACGGGAAAGCAGAUUUCUGGUUGCAGCCGUGUCCUGGUGGAGAGGGAGCCUGUCUUCAGGCACAGUUAGGAAGGGGCCGUGUUCCCUUGUUCAGAACGGAACUCCUUGAUGCAGCUCAAGACAUCUUGGCACGGGUUUGCUUCGUCACUGGUUUUGUUUUUGUCAUCUCGUCAGGGAUGCAAGGAAACAGCCAAGAUGGCAGGAGCUGUGCACUCGCAAAUACUCAGACGCUUAAUGAGUAAAAGCAGGGAAAUGCAGAAUUCCAUGCAGAAUAAGGCAGGAACAUACAGAUCGGACUUGGGUUCAGGGAACGUCUCCCUGAAAAGGUAACACUUCAGCUGAGUCCCUGUCCCCGUCUUGAGUGGGCCUCCUGGCCAGGAUGCCAGCCCGGGGGAUUGCUCGGUGCUUCCUCUCUGCAGAGAGCGCGCGGCUGUUUAUUAAUUAAGCAGUGGGUUAUAAUGCGCGCUGAAUGAAUAGAUCUGGUCUGUCUUCCAGCCUGGGAAGCAGGGCUCUUAGAUUUUUAUGUUAUUUCCCCCCAAACGAUGCAUUCUUGCAGCUCCAGUGAGAAAACCGCCUGUGUGUUUGGGCUGGAAGGAAGCUGCAUUUGUCCCUCUUCCUACCUGUGGAGGUUGUCACUUGCAGGGAGUCAGACACAGACACGGCUCUGUGCACCUGCUUGGUGGCGGUCAGGCGCCUUCGUAAACUCUUAGGGUGGUCCCGCUCCUUCUGGGUACGUCCAGUAUACGUGUGUGUGUGUGUGUGUGUCUGCACACACGGGCUCACGUGCACAUGUGGCCUGAGUUUGAGCACCUGCUGGCCAGAACACCUGAAGACAAGCUCAGCCCUGUGCCUCUGCGGGGCCUCCUCUGAGCCCGGACGGGGCCGCGGCGGCGGGGUGCGGGGGGGGAUGGCAGAAACCCUGUGGACGGGAGGUCUGCGCCGAGGCUCUAGGGCCGAGGAAAGGGACCACGUCGAGCCGAGUGCAAGGGGACGCUUGUUACUGACGGGGGGUCAGCCGCUCUGGGGGUUGGACUCCAGGUCACGCCUCCCUCCCCCUCGCCUGCUCCGUCCCGCCUGCCCCCAGAGGAAGGCCGUCUGGGAAGGCGGGGACUUUCCUCUGUCCUCUUGGCUCUGUGUCCAUCAACAGAGGCUCACCGGAAACCAAGUUUUUCUUCUGAUGUUAGACAGAAAGGGCCGGAAGAGUUUGGUAUCCACACAGGGAAAACACUGAUUCCAGCACAUGGACCAAGAAGGACACAGAGAGGCGCUCCCGUCGUGGCUCAGACUAGUGUCCACGAGGAACUGGGUUCGAGCCCUGGCCUUGCUCAGUGAGUUAAGGAUCUGACGUUGCUGUGAGCUGUGGUGUAGGAUCCCGAGUGGCUGUGGCUGUGGCUGUGGCUGGCAGCUGCAGCUCCGAUUCGACCCCUAGCCUGGGACCUUCCAUAUGCCGUGGGUGUGGCCCUAAAAAGCAAAAGAAAGAAAGAAAGAAAGAAAGAAAUACAAAACCAGCCAAAGCCUCCUGGUCCCAGGGUGCUGAGGGGCUGGAUGAGCGCUUCAUCCUGCCCCGGUGGAGCCUCGGGUGUCCCUGUGGCGAGGCCCUUAGGCUCUGUCCCAGCGCCACGCCCCUCUCCCCACCCGCUGCCCCCUCCCCAGCCCGUGUCCCCCUCCUCCCGGCCCAGAUGUAGGUCAUUCAGGGAAUCGCCCCUCCCUCGGCGGGUGGGCCUCACCCGCAAUCGUCCAGUCCUGAGAAAGGCUCGCUCUGUGACCAAACUUGAGGCGAGCUCUUCUGAGCACUUUUUCAGUUAGUUUUUGACAUUUGAGCCUCUCUGUUUGUGCGCGGUCUGUGUUUCGCAAGAGUCCCCCGCUAGGGUGGUUUAGUCAGAAUCCCCCACCCUCCGUGUCUGACCCGCCUCAGUAUCCGAUCGAGUUUCUCACCCCCCCCCACCCCCCCGUGAAGUCUGACCACCCCGACCUGCCUUCAGCGAGAACCCUGUGAGGUCGGCUUAGCCCUGAUGUCUCCUCUUGGUCACCUUCAUGCACGGACCCCCACUUGCUCCUUGGUUACACGUUCCCCCUUUUCCUUGUUGUAUGUGCAGGUCAGCCCCAGCUCUCUCCCCACUGCAAACCCCCAUCCCAGUGGUCCCUGCGCGUAUCGCGCGGCUCCCAGUACAGCCUGCCUUACUACCUGCUUUAACGGGUGUCAUUAAGAAAUACUUCUUCAACAGGCCCUACGAGGGUGCUGUCAGGACCCUCUGUCGUGGGGGCUGCCUCUGCCUGAAGACCCUCAGGGCCGUUGGAUGGGAGAGUAGAAUGUAAUUAAGAGGCCUGACUAUUUUUGGGGGGCCGCACCCUCGGCAUAUGGAAGUUCCCAGGCUAGGGGUCGAAUCAGAGCUUCGCCUGGGGCCUCUGCCACAGCCACAGCCACACGGGAUCUGAGCUGCAUCUGAGACCUGUGCUGCCGCUUUCGGCAACGCUGGAUCCUCAACCCACUGAGCGAGGCCAGGGAUCACACCUGCGUCCUCACACACACCAUGUUGGGUUUGUAACUCGCUGAGCCACAGUGGGAACUCCAGACCCGACUUUUGUCGGCACAUUCUGGGGACUUGACAGUGAGAUGGGCCUCACAGACUUGAGCGGAGUUUCGGGUCUGGCAGAACAGAGAUCAAAGGAACAGUGGGCUGGGCGCCUGGUGCCCUCACCCCCAAAAAACAGAUGGACAGGAAGGGCUGCGUCCCUGGCUGUAACCCAAGCUCACAGUGAUUAAGGAAGAACAAAAUAAUUCAGCCCUGAUUUCAGCCGACGAGGAGGCUUCAUAAACUGCUUGACACCCCGGGCCUUUUACUGCUCCGUCUUAAUCCUGAGGCUCCUUAGAAAUGAAAGCUGGCAUUUAUUGCGAGUUCAUUUUGAGACAGGCCUUGUUUUGCCCGGGUACAGAGGGGAGACUGGUGCACAGAGAGGUUAAAGGCUUUGCCAGAGGUCACACAGCUAGCAUGUGGCAGCGGUGACUUUAUACCCGGGAAGCCUGGUUCCAGAGCACCUCCCUUCCUCCACAUCCGAUUUCAAACUAUGCUCAAGUAUGUCCACAGGUACGGGAAGCAGCUUUUCUCAUUCAGUGUGUAAUGUGUUACACACAGCACAGUCAAUCGAUGGUCACUGGGGUAGUGCUGGCAUUAGUGGUAGGCUGUAUAUUAACAGUUAAGGGUGCCUUUUUCUGGUCUUUUUUUUAGGGCUGCACCCGUGGCAUAUGCAGGUUCCCAGGCGAGGGGUCGAAUCGGAGCUACAGCUGCCGGUCCACACCACAGCCGCAGCAACGCAGGAUCUGAGCCGCGUCUGCGACCCACGCCACAGCUCACGGCAGUGCUGGAUCCUUAACCCACUGAGUGAGGCCAAGGAUCAAACCCACAACCUCAUGGUUACUAGUCGGGUUCGUUAACCACUGCACCACGACCGGAACUCUGUGAGGGUGCAUUUUGAUCAAUGAAUGAUCUUUCCUUUGGAGUUUUGCCAGCGUUGCCUCUUGAUUUCUG
This 4818-nucleotide long non-coding RNA is filed under the name Sus scrofa (pig). RNAcentral's name for it is "lncRNA (ENSSSCG00040006092.1)". Lineage: Eukaryota; Metazoa; Chordata; Mammalia; Artiodactyla; Suidae. The record is from RNAcentral.